GCGGGUGUAAUUCAGUGGUAGAAUGUUACCUUCCCAAGGUAAACGUCGUGGGUUCGAGUCCCAUCACCCGCU
Transfer RNA from Gloeocapsa sp. PCC 7428, 72 nucleotides. It matches the Rfam family "tRNA". From Rfam's summary of the family: Transfer RNA (tRNA) molecules are approximately 80 nucleotides in length. Their secondary structure includes four short double-helical elements and three loops (D, anti-codon, and T loops). The record is from Rfam. Lineage: Bacteria; Bacillati; Cyanobacteriota; Cyanophyceae; Chroococcidiopsidales; Chroococcidiopsidaceae.